CCGACCUUAGCUCAGUUGGUAGAGCGGAGGACUGUAGUGGUAUAUGCAGAUGAUCCUUAGGUCGCUGGUUCGAAUCCGGCAGGUCGGA
This 88-nucleotide transfer RNA is filed under the name Cephalotus follicularis. It matches the Rfam family "tRNA". Rfam says of the family: Transfer RNA (tRNA) molecules are approximately 80 nucleotides in length. Lineage: Eukaryota; Viridiplantae; Streptophyta; Magnoliopsida; Oxalidales; Cephalotaceae. The record is from Rfam by way of RNAcentral.